Long non-coding RNA from Cydia splendana, 350 nucleotides. RefSeq lists it as uncharacterized. NCBI's taxonomy places the organism in Eukaryota, Metazoa, Arthropoda, Insecta, Lepidoptera, Tortricidae. The record is from RefSeq and is a predicted model, not a curated record. The transcript is spliced from 3 exons.
GUGAUUUGUGUUUUCCUUGCGCAACAAGCUUCUGGAAUUAUUUAUCGUUUAAAUGCUUCGGAAUAUGCGCGUCUGCCUCAGCUGUUCUUCUUGGAUAACUACCACAACUGUUUGACGGCUCCUGGAGACACCUACUGCUACUUGGACGCUAGACUUGUGACCAAUGAGACGAAUCAGCUGUUUACUGUCAUACAGGAAUUCUCGGCCUAUAACAAAACCCACUUCGACCACACGAUCGUCCACCGAGGCGUAUGCGUCACGCAGACGUGUCGUGAUUACCUCGACAACUCCACAGGCCUGGUUCCUACUGUUGAAGCCUGUCUCAAUGCUACGCUUUACAAGAGUCAUGG